AUGGACGCCGCCGCGCCUUCUUCCCCUCCUCGCCAUCGCCGCCCUGGCGAGCGCCGCCCCAACGCCCCUCCUGCGAUGCCCGCCACCGCAGCCUCCUUCCACGCACCCUCGUCCCGUCCCCUCGGCCUCCUCCUCGUCGCCUGCAUCCGCCGCCAGCCACCGCAGAACCAGGCCGCUGCCGCGCCAUCCCGCCUCCUCGUCCAACUCCGGUGGCUCCACACCUGCAUCUCCACCGGCGCCAUCAGUCCCCGUCGCCCGAGCGCUCGAGGAGAGGAGCUCCUCGAGCACCUGCGCCUGCAUCCAUCGUCCUCUGCGCCCAGCAGGAGCCCCGCGCCGCUCGUCCCCUCCGUUUGGCCGGAGUUCGUUGGAGCCCCAGCACCGGCCGCCUUGCACCCGCGAGGACCACCACCUCCAGCGCGCCUCUGCCUCCUCUGUGCUUGCCCCACUGCUGCCGUGUUGCUCCUCACCCGCACGCCCCUUGCCGCCUCCCCCGCUGGUGGCGACCACCAGGAGCUCCACCAGGAGCCCGGCAUACCCUGCCUCCUCGAUCGCUUCAAGUCCCCGUCGUCAAGCUCCAUGCCACUGCUCCUGCUUCCCUUCGAGCCCUCCUCUGUGUCGCUCGCUCAGGCUACCAGCAGCCUUAGCACGCCAAGACCCGUUCGUGGAUUUAUUCAAGUUCGAGCACCGCUAAACGAGGGUUUUUGCCUUGCUCAUUUUGGAUGCACCAAGUUCCUGUUCGAAAGUUCGUCUACAUGGACAAGUACCGUGGCACCGAAGACUUUUGUUGCGUCAAGUCCCUCUCAGACAAUUGUUGGACUACCAUCCGUGCACGCAUCCGCACGCCUCCUUUUGCACCAAGUACCACGACAUCAUCGGCCCUACAAGUUCAACUAUGGUUGCCGUGUACGACUACCGUCGACCCUCGAAGACCCCGUGGACCCCGAAUCAUCUACGGGACAUGAACAACUACUACCACUACCGUCGCCGUGA
RNAcentral lists this ribosomal RNA (990 nucleotides) under Triticum aestivum (bread wheat). RNAcentral's name for it is "partial small subunit ribosomal RNA". The record is from RNAcentral. Lineage: Eukaryota; Viridiplantae; Streptophyta; Magnoliopsida; Poales; Poaceae.